UGAGGAAUAUUGGACAAUGGGGGAAACCCUGAUCCAGCCAUGCCGCGUGAGUGACGAAGGUCUUCGGAUUGUAAAACUCUUUUAGCAGGGAAGAUAAUGACGGUACCUGCAGAAUAAGCCCCGGCUAACUUCGUGCCAGCAGCCGCGGUAAUACGAAGGGGGCUAGCGUUGUUCGGAAUUACUGGGCGUAAAGCGCGCGUAGGCGGACUCUCAAGUCAGGGGUGAAAUCCCGAGGCUCAACCUCGGAACUGCCUUUGAUACUGUGAGUCUUGAGCUCGGAAGAGGUGGGUGGAAUUCCUAGUGUAGAGGUGAAAUUCGUAGAUAUUAGGAAGAACACCAGUGGCGAAGGCGGCCCACUGGUCCGAUGCUGACGCUGAGGUGCGAAAGCCAGGGGAGCAAACGGGAUUAGAUACCCACGUAGUCCCUGAGCGGGCUGGCAAGGCGCAU
RNAcentral lists this ribosomal RNA (447 nucleotides) under uncultured bacterium. Its description in RNAcentral is "bacterial SSU rRNA". It matches the Rfam family "Bacterial small subunit ribosomal RNA", at positions 355 to 825 of the family's 1533-position model. The record is from RNAcentral.